GACAGAGGUGGCAAGCGUUGCUCGGAUUCACUGGGCUUAAAGGGCGCGUAGGCGGCUUUGUAAGUCCGAGGUGGAAUUCCACAGCUUAACUGUGGAACUGCCUUGGAAACUGCAAGGCUUGAGUCAGGUAGAGGGAGGCGGAAUUCCCGGUGUAGUGGUGAAAUACGUAGAUAUCUGGAAGAACACCAGUGGCGAAGGCGGCUACUUGGUUCGCAACUGACGCUGAGGCGCAAAAGCGUGGGGAGCAAACAGG
Molecule: ribosomal RNA, 253 nt
Filed under: uncultured microorganism
Description: partial 16S ribosomal RNA
Rfam family: Bacterial small subunit ribosomal RNA
Source: RNAcentral